UAAUAAUAAUAAUAAUAAACGGUUUAUUAUUUAGGCAGUUAACAAACUGAAAAUGUACAUAGGGGGUGGGGAAAAACUUAACGUUAAUCCUAAAGAUAAGUCUAAUCUAGGAGGGAAAUACUAAUGAUUGAUGGCUCGCACCAUGGUGGGAAUCGCACUGAGUCUGUACCGGUCCGUGCGCGGCGCCUUCAGGGGCGUUAUUUUGUUGUGGUGUCUGGUGGCACGGACCGGGCGAGGCGCGUCAGGCGGCAGCAUGUUUCUGAGACGUGGAUGAUGCAAUAGUCCCCUCCCAAACUUCUCCAGAGCCUCUCGGUGCCUGGUGGAUAUUGUGGACAGACUCAGGGUGGUCAGGGCUUCUUCGUAGGUGGUGUAUGCAGGGCCAAGGAUGACCCUGCACGCCCUUUUCUGCACACUCUCUAGCUGUAGCUGUUGAGUGUGUGUGAGGGAGGAGGACCACGCUGGGGAGGCGUACAUGAGUUUGGGGAGGAUGAAGAAGGAUGGUGCAGGACACACACACACAUGCUGAGUGAUGAAGAGUUUACAGAAGAGACAGGAGGAAAUCCCUGGCGGUUAUAUGCUAGAUGGCUUAGUGGCUGAGCUGCAGGUGGUCUUCGUUAGCUUCUGGUGGCACAGGUGUGGGACAGCUGGGAGCAGUGGAGGUGCCUGGUGGGGCAACUGUGCUUGGCAGAGGAGGUGCUGUUGGAGGAGCCACAGUUG
This is a long non-coding RNA of Scylla paramamosain (green mud crab), 717 nucleotides long. RefSeq lists it as uncharacterized. The record is from RefSeq and is a predicted model, not a curated record. Lineage: Eukaryota; Metazoa; Arthropoda; Malacostraca; Decapoda; Portunidae. The transcript has 3 exons.